RNAcentral lists this transfer RNA (88 nucleotides) under Siphoviridae sp. ctZHD14. RNAcentral's name for it is "tRNA-Ser". It matches the Rfam family "tRNA". Rfam says of the family: Transfer RNA (tRNA) molecules are approximately 80 nucleotides in length. Lineage: Duplodnaviria; Heunggongvirae; Uroviricota; Caudoviricetes. The record is from RNAcentral.
GGAAGGAUGGCAGAGCGGGUGAAUGCAACGGUCUUGAAAACCGUCGAUCCUAAAGGAUCCCUGGGUUCGAAUCCCAGUCCUUCCGCCA